AAUUAUGGACAUUGGUGGAGACGCCGACCCAGUCAGCCCGCGUGUAUUAUGUAGGCCUUCGCGAUGUAAAUUACUUUUCGCAGAGAAGAAAAGGUAUCUCCUAAUCCGGGAUACUGCUGUCGGUAUCGCCAGAAUAAGCAUCGGCGAACUACGUGCCAGCAGCCGCGGUAAUACGUAGGGUGCAAGCGUUAAUCGGAAUUAGUGGGCGUAAAGCGUGUGUAGGCGGUUCGGAAAGACAGAUGUGAAAUCCCAGGGCUCAACCUUGGAACUGCAUUUUUAACUGCCGAGCUAGAGUAUGUCAGAGGGGGGUAGAAUUCCACGUGUAGCAGUGAAAUGCGUAGAUAUGUGGAGGAAUACCGAUGGCGAAGGCAGCCCCCUGGGAUAAUACUGACGCUCAGACACGAAAGCGUGGGGAGCAAACAGG
RNAcentral lists this ribosomal RNA (424 nucleotides) under uncultured bacterium. Its description in RNAcentral is "partial 16S ribosomal RNA". It matches the Rfam family "Bacterial small subunit ribosomal RNA", at positions 360 to 776 of the family's 1533-position model. The record is from RNAcentral.